UGGGGAAUAUUGCACAAUGGGGGAAGACCCUGAUGCAGCGACGCCGCGUGAGCGAAGAAGUAUUUCGGUAUGUAAAGCUCUAUCAGCAGGGAAGAUAAUGACGGUACCUGACUAAGAAGCCCCGCUAACUACGUGCCAGCAGCCGCGGUAAUACGUAGGGGGCGAAGCGUUAUCCGGAUUCAUUGGGUUUAAAGGGUGCGUAGGCGGCGUCUUAAGCCGGCGGUGAAAUCGCGGGGCUCAACUUCGGGACUGCAUUGGAAACUGUUGAGCUGGAGUGCAGGAGAGGUAAGCGGAAUUCCUAGUGUAGCGGUGAAAUGCGUAGAUAUUAGGAGGAACACCAGUGGCGAAGGCGGCUUACUGGACUGUAACUGACGUUGAGGCUCGAAAGCGUGGGGAGCAAAUAGGAUUAGAUACC
RNAcentral lists this ribosomal RNA (415 nucleotides) under uncultured bacterium. RNAcentral's name for it is "bacterial SSU rRNA". It matches the Rfam family "Bacterial small subunit ribosomal RNA", at positions 355 to 786 of the family's 1533-position model. The record is from RNAcentral.